UACGUAAGUGGCGAGCGUUAUCCGGAAUUACUGGGCGUAAAGCGCACGUAGGCGGCUUUGUAAGUUAGAGGUGAAAGCCCGGGGCUCAACUCCGGAAUUGCCUUUAAGACUGCAUCGCUAGAAUUGUGGAGAGGUAAGUGGAAUUCCGAGUGUAGAGGUGAAAUUCGUAGAUAUUCGGAAGAACACCAGUGGCGAAGGCGACUUACUGGACACAUAUUGACGCUGAGGUGCGAAAGCGUGGGGAGCAAACAGG
This 253-nucleotide ribosomal RNA is filed under the name uncultured bacterium. RNAcentral's name for it is "partial 16S ribosomal RNA". It matches the Rfam family "Bacterial small subunit ribosomal RNA", at positions 524 to 776 of the family's 1533-position model. The record is from RNAcentral.